UGGAAGAAACUGAGGCACGGAGAGGGUACUUACCCAAGAUCUCUCGGACCGACCCUGAAACUCUGGGGCGAUUGUGCACCUCAAAGCGGCUACGUGCCGCGCGUCAAGCGCUCUAUGAGUACGUCCAAUCACGGCCAUCCUUCUGUCCGGACUCGGCUCGUCUCGCCUCUCAGCCUUUGCGCUGACCGACUCCCCUUCCCCUCCCCCUUCCCCCACCUGCCAUGAGCUCUCGCUUCCCCUCCGCCCCCUAGAAUCCUUCGUUCUCUUUCCGGCUCCGAUCAGACCAAACCUGCCCGUUAAAUCUGCCCGUUCCCUUCAGCGCCGGGAGCCCCCUGCAGCUACUCUGUAUCCCUCCGUGGUUACUUCGUUCCAUUUGUUUGCCUAACAGAACCAUGGAACUCCUUCAGGGGGCGCGGUUCCAGGGGGGGCAGGGACUGGGCCUCGGAGUUUUUUUUUUUUUUUUGGCUGAGGCAAUUGGGGUUAAGUGACUUGCCCAGGGCCACACAGCUAGUGGGCCUCGGAUUUGAUCCGUCUAGAUCCCGGACCUAGAUUCUAGGGCACUGGAACUUUUUGGCCUCAGGAUCUCUUAAUAUUCUUACAAAACCGAGACCACCAAGAGCUUUUGUUUCGGUGGUUCCAUCUAUGGCUGUUUACAGUCUUACAUCACAAUAUUAUUGUGAAAAUAACGUUUGAUUUUCUGGAUCCCCUGAAAGGGUCCUGGGGUAACUAUUGACCAUAUUUUCAGAAUCAUUGUGGUAGGCGACCCCCCCCCUUUACGAUUUUAAUUGGCUACCCUCCCCACAACGUAUAGUUUUGGAGCAGGAGUGUAUGAACUUUUAAAAACUGUUUUAAAAUGCAUAAAAUAGAGGAUUGCAAUAUCCUCUAUUUUAUGCAUUUAAAAGCGACUUUUUUCUUAGAAAAGAUACAGAGCAGAGCAAAAAAAAAAAAAAACAAAAACAAACAGAUACAGAGCUUUCACUAGACUGUCAAAGGGGCGGAGCCUGCUCAGACAUGCUUGUGAGAGUAGAUUAUUACCUUUUCUGAGGGAAUAUUACAUCUAGGAAAGGGACAAACCCAACAAAUCAGGGAUUGGUUUAUUGUUUUGUUGCUUGUCUAAACUUAAGAAAGUGAUGGAGAAAAUAGUAACAUGAAAAAGUAUUGUUUGGAGAGUCCAUCGUUAAACAUCCACAGACAUAGCCUUGGGGCCAUGACACACAAAAAGUCUAAGGAUUUUUAGUAGAAUUGCCUAAAGUAAUAAGAGAUUUAGUGACUGGCAACGGCUCACACCACAGGUCCAUGUCAGAGGCGCACAGUAGGUGCUUAACAAACAUUGCAAUUAUUAUUAUGCAAGUAACUGAAGCAGAAUUCAAACUCAGACAUCUGGAUUCUAGCUCUAGUGUCCUUGCCAGUACCCUUCCCUGCCUGUAAAUCUGUAUUUCUGGAAGUCCUCCAUUCUUGGGGGUAUUACUGAGGAAGAGUAGAAAAGGGGGAUGAUUGAGGUUAACAAUGAUGGCUUUCAAAAUGGAGAAUAAAAGCAUAAAAGACAAGUCCACGUUGGGAACAUACAUGGCUAGAGAAGACGGCCAGAGGGUUAAAGCAUCCUUCUGACCCCCAAGAUAAUAAAAAGAAAUAGAGGGAGGCCUCCAGUUUGGUGGGUAGACACUCUGGGGAGAAUAUAAUGUAUGACAUGAGCAAGAUUGAUACUGGAUAAGAAGGCCCAAUGGGGAGAGAGAGGACUGUCCUGAUGAAGAUACACACUAAGAAGAAGCUCCCAGAUUUACCCCAACUCUCUAAAUGGGCACAGAGUGAGAGGAGAGCAACUUCUCUCACCCACUCUCCAACAUCUCACCCUACUUUUACUAUAUUACUUGCCUGUAGCCUAAGCCAUUCUUAUUAGGUACCUGAAAGUAUGGAAACCCAAACUUUCCCUUUCCAUUCCAGCUGCUGAUUCUGAUCUUCUGCCAUGAGGUAGUGAUGUGUGUAUAUGUAUAGAGUUAGGGAAUAUGUAUUUGUAUAUCCUCUGGCUAUGUAGACCAAAGCUUCAGGGCUCCAGUUAGUAAUUAAGGGCCUGAAGCACCAAAUGACAGAUUUCCCAGCCUUCCCUGUUUGCCACCUGCCUUCCUGGGUUCCAAGACACCAUGGCUACAUCAUAUUUUCACAUCAAGUCUCAGAAACUCCUAUCUGUCCAUUAGCCAAACCCUCCAGCACUUUGGGUAUCAGAAUCACCACCUGAAAUGAAGAGGCUACAUCACCUAACAGAGAGAUGAGAAAACUGAGUGAAAUGAUUCUGUCCCCUGUAUGUGCCC
Molecule: long non-coding RNA, 2306 nt
Filed under: Sarcophilus harrisii (Tasmanian devil)
Lineage: Eukaryota; Metazoa; Chordata; Mammalia; Dasyuromorphia; Dasyuridae
Description: lncRNA (ENSSHAG00000021999.1)
Source: RNAcentral